RNAcentral lists this ribosomal RNA (921 nucleotides) under uncultured bacterium. RNAcentral's name for it is "bacterial SSU rRNA". It matches the Rfam family "Bacterial small subunit ribosomal RNA", at positions 33 to 947 of the family's 1533-position model. The record is from RNAcentral.
ACGCUAGCUACAGGCUUAACACAUGCAAGUCGAGGGGCAGCAUGGAAGAAGCUUGCUUCUUCUGAUGGCGACCGGCGCACGGGUGCGUAACGCGUAUCAAACCUGCCUCAUACUCGGGGAUAGCCUUGCGAAAGUAAGAUUAAUACCCGAUGUUGUUAUGUUGCCGCAUGGUGAUAUAACCAAAGAUUUAUCGGUAUGAGAUGGUGAUGCGUCCGAUUAGGUAGUAGGCGGGGUAACGGCCCACCUAGCCUUCGAUCGGUAGGGGUUCUGAGAGGAAGGUCCCCCACACUGGAACUGAGACACGGUCCAGACUCCUACGGGAGGCAGCAGUGAGGAAUAUUGGUCAAUGGACGCAAGUCUGAACCAGCCAAGUAGCGUGCAGGAUGACGGCCCUCCGGGUUGUAAACUGCUUUUAGUUGGGAAUAAAAAAGAGGACGUGUCCUCUAUUGUAUGUACCUUCAGAAAAAGGACCGGCUAAUUCCGUGCCAGCAGCCGCGGUAAUACGGAAGGUCCAGGCGUUAUCCGGAUUUAUUGGGUUUAAAGGGAGCGUAGGCGGAUUAUUAAGUCAGUGGUGAAAGACGGUGGCUCAACCAUCGUUAGCCAUUGAAACUGGUAGUCCUGAGUGCAGACAGGGAUGCUGGAACUCGUGGUGUAGCGGUGAAAUGCUUAGAUAUCACGAUGAACUCCGAUCGCGAAGGCAGGUGUCCGGGCUGCAACUGACGCUGAGGCUCGAAAGUGUGGGUAUCAAACAGGAUUAGAUACCCUGGUAGUCCACACAGUAAACGAUGUAUACUCGCGGUUUGCGAUACAAUGUAAGCCGCCAAGCGAAAGCAUUAAGUAUACCACCUGGGGAGUACGCCGGCAACGGUGAAACUCAAAGGAAUUGACGGGGGCCCGCACAAGCGGAGGAACAUGUGGUUU